GAUGAACGCUGGCGGCGUGCCUAAUACAUGCAAGUCGAGCGAACAGACGAGGAGCUUGCUCCUCUGACGUUAGCGGCGGACGGGUGAGUAACACGUGGAUAACCUACCUAUAAGACUGGGAUAACUUCGGGAAACCGGAGCUAAUACCGGAUAACAUGUUGAACCGCAUGGUUCAACAGUGAAAGACGGUCUUGCUGUCACUUAUAGAUGGAUCCGCGCCGCAUUAGCUAGUUGGUAAGGUAACGGCUUACCAAGGCAACGAUGCGUAGCCGACCUGAGAGGGUGAUCGGCCACACUGGAACUGAGACACGGUCCAGACUCCUACGGGAGGCAGCAGUAGGGAAUCUUCCGCAAUGGGCGAAAGCCUGACGGAGCAACGCCGCGUGAGUGAAGAAGGUCUUCGGAUCGUAAAACUCUGUUAUUAGGGAAGAACAAAUGUGUAAGUAACUAUGCUCGUCUUGACGGUACCUAAUCAGAAAGCCACGGCUAACUACGUG
RNAcentral lists this ribosomal RNA (497 nucleotides) under uncultured bacterium. RNAcentral describes it as "partial 16S ribosomal RNA". It matches the Rfam family "Bacterial small subunit ribosomal RNA", at positions 28 to 507 of the family's 1533-position model. The record is from RNAcentral.